GCUGUCGCCGCCGCCGCUCCUCGUGCUGUUGGAGCAGUUUCCCGGCGCCACUCCAGCCUCGGCCUCCGCCUCCUCGCCGAACUCCCGGAAGGUCGUGAAAUUAGUGACGAAUCGGGGUGUGUGGCUGCCACGACGGUGUGCCGAAACUCAGUAUCCGGAAUUCCGGCAGAUUCGUAUUCUUGAGAUAAGUUGUUAACUUGUGCUUACUAUAGGUGUAGAACUUGGUUUCUCUAUUUUAUGAACUCGAUGAAU
Molecule: long non-coding RNA, 252 nt
Organism: Salvia splendens (bonfire salvia)
Lineage: Eukaryota; Viridiplantae; Streptophyta; Magnoliopsida; Lamiales; Lamiaceae
Exons: 2
Source: RefSeq, a predicted model, not a curated record